RNAcentral lists this ribosomal RNA (497 nucleotides) under uncultured bacterium. RNAcentral describes it as "partial 16S ribosomal RNA". It matches the Rfam family "Bacterial small subunit ribosomal RNA", at positions 28 to 507 of the family's 1533-position model. The record is from RNAcentral.
GACGAACGCUGGCGGCGUGCUUAACACAUGCAAGUCGAACGGAAGGGCGCUACGCUUGUUGCGUGCUUGAUAGCCGAACACGUGAGUGAAACACGAGUAAACCCUCCCUGUCAUUGGGAUAUCUUCACGAAAAUCGGGCUCAUACCCGAUAGGAGCUCCUGCUGCGCGGGGUUGGAUGGAAAGUUUCGGCCGUGCGGUAUGUACUAGAUGCUUCUGGGCUGCAUUAGCUAGUUGGUAAGGUAACGGCUUACCAAGGCAACGAUGCAUAGCCGACCUGAGAGGGUGAUCGGCCACACUGGAACUGAGACACGGUCCAGACUCCUACGGGAGGCAGCAGUAGGGAAUCUUCCGCAAUGGGCGAAAGCCUGACGGAGCAACGCCGCGUGAGUGAUGAAGGUCUUCGGAUCGUAAAACUCUGUUAUUAGGGAAGAACAUAUGUGUAAGUAACUGUGCACAUCUUGACGGUACCUAAUCAGAAAGCCACGGCUAACUACGUG